GCAAGAUACCACGGGCGCACGGCGGAUGCCUUGGCACAGGGAGCCGAUGAAGGACGCGGCAAGCUGCGAUAAUCCCCGGCGAGGAGCACACAUCCUUCGACCCGGGGGUCUCCGAAUGGGCGAACCCAUCCACAGCAGUGUGGAUAUCCCCACCCCGAACACAUAGGGGUGGGGAGGACAACCCGGGGAACUGAAACAUCUAAGUACCCGGAGGAGAGGAAAUCAAUCUCGAGACUCCCCGAGUAGCGGCGAGCGAAAGGGGACCGAUGGCCAAACCGUCGAGCGGGCAUACCCGGCAGGGGUUCCGCCGACGGGGUUGCAGGGCCGCGCAUCCGGGGGCUGCCGCCCCCGGGCGCAGGUCCGGCUGGGGAGCGGAACGGCAUGGGAGGGCCGGCCGCAGCGGGUGACAGCCCCGUACGCGAACCCAGACCGGACGGCGCGACGCGGUCCCUGAGUAGGGCCGGGCACGUGAAACCCGGUCCGAACCUGGGUGGACCACCAUCCAAGCCUGAGUACUACCCUGUGACCGAUAGCGCACCAGUACCGUGAGGGAAAGGUGAAAAGCACCCCGGGAGGGGAGUGAAACAGUACCUGAAACCGUGCGCCCACGAGCAGUCGGAGCACCCUUGUGGUGUGACGGCGUGCCUUUUGUAGAAUGAGCCAGCGAGUCGCUGGCGCGGGGCGAGGUUAACCGAAAGGGAGCCGGAGCGAAAGCGAGCCUUAACAGGGCGACUUGAGUCCCGCGCCGCGGACGCGAAGCCGGGUGAGCUAUCCGUGGGCAGGCUGAAGCGGGGGUAAGACCCCGUGGAGGGCCGAACGCACGUCGGUUGAAAACGGCGGCGAUGACCUGCGGAUAGGGGUGAAAGGCCAAUCAAACCCGGAGAUAUCUCGUUCUCCCCGAAAUAGCUUUAGGGCUAGCGUCGCGCGUUCACCGCCGGAGGUAGAGCACCGGAUGGACGAGGGGGCUUCGCCGCCUACCGAAUCCAACCGAACUCCGAAUGCCGGCGGCCCAGAGCGCGGCAGUCAGAGCAUGUGGGCUAAGCUGUGUGCUCGAGAGGGAAACAGCCCGGACCGCCCGCUAAGGUCCCCAAGUUCCAGCCGAGUGGCAAAGGAUGUGCGUCCGCCCAGACAACCAGGAUGUUGGCUUAGAAGCAGCCAUGCAUUCAAAGAGUGCGUAACAGCUCACUGGUCGAGUGGACAUGCGCCGACAAUACACGGGGCUAAGCUGGACACCGAAGCGGCGGGAUUUUAUCUAUAUAGAAUCGGUAGGGGAGCUUCCCAUGGGCGGUGAAGCCGCCGGGCGACCGGCGGUGGAGCGCAUGGGAGUGAGAAUGCUGGCAUGAGUAGCGAGAGACGAGAGAGUAACUCGUCCGCCGUGAACCCGAGGUUUCCUGGGCAAGGCUAAUCCUCCCAGGGUCAGUCGGGGGCUAAGGCGAGGCCGGAAGGCGUAGCCGACGCGCAGCAGGCAGACAUUCCUGCACCGCGCACGCGGCGCUACGACCGACGGGGCGACGGAUGGGGGUGGCUCGGCGGGGUUCUGGACGUCCCCGUGAUGGAGCGCGGCCCGCGGACCAGGGAAAUCCGGUCCGCACGAGGGCGAGGCUCCGGACGAAGCGAUCAAGCGAAGCGAGUGAGCCCGAGGUCCCUAGAAAAACCCCUAGGCAGGCGCGUGCGCGCCCGUACCGCAAACCGACACAGGUGGGUGGGUAGAACAUACCGAGGCGAUCGGGUCAACCAUGGUCAAGGAACUCGGCACAAUGGCCCCGUAACUUCGGGAGAAGGGGUGCCCGCGCGUACGUGAACGGACUUGCUCCGGGAGCGGAGGCGGGCCGCAGUGGAGAGGCCCAAGCGACUGUUUACCAAAAACACAGGACUCUGCAGAAGCCGCAAGGCGACGUAUAGGGUCUGACGCCUGCCCGGUGCCGGAAGGUCACGCGGAGGAGUUAGCGCAUCGCGCGAAGCCCCGAAGCCAAGCCCCGGUAAACGGCGGCCGUAACUAUAACGGUCCUAAGGUAGCGAAAUUCCUUGUCGGGUAAGUUCCGACCUGC
Molecule: ribosomal RNA, 2048 nt
Filed under: human gut metagenome
Description: bacterial LSU rRNA
Rfam family: Bacterial large subunit ribosomal RNA
Source: RNAcentral